RNAcentral lists this unclassified non-coding RNA (3567 nucleotides) under Pocillopora damicornis (cauliflower coral). RNAcentral describes it as "bRCA2-interacting transcriptional repressor EMSY- like, transcript variant X3". Lineage: Eukaryota; Metazoa; Cnidaria; Anthozoa; Scleractinia; Pocilloporidae. The record is from RNAcentral.
AUGUGAUGAAUCAAUAUGGCGGACGGUUUGCUUUCGUUGAUUGCCAAUGGUAGUAACGCCUUAUUUCUAGGGAUGGUCAAGAUUUUGUAAAGGAAAUGUGUGCAGAAAUGAUGGAUGUUAGUCGAGAUGAAGCCAAGCGGAUUCUCAGGAGGCUUGAGCUAGAGGCAUAUUCAUCCAUCAUCAGUGCUUUCAGGGCCCAGGGAGAGUUAAGUCGGGCUAAAAAGAAGAUCUUGCAAGAUCUUGGAACUCAGCUGAGUAUUUCAACCGAGCGUCACAGGGCUGAAGUCCGAAGAGCCUACAGUGAUGAUAGACUUGGCAUUGUGGCUGAGAGUAUUUAUGGUGCAGGCAGCUGUGCAGAAUGGGCAGCAGAGGGGAGAAGGCUUGUACCACUCAUGCCACGCCUUGUUCCACAAACAGUGUUCAGCUCCUCAGCAACUGCUGCUGCAAAUUCUGCAGCUGCAGCAAAUGCUAAACUUCCUGUUUCAUCAGCUAAUAAAGCUGGUAGUAGUUCAAGUGCAUCUGUUAACACAUCAUCUUCACUGACAAGCCAGCAAAAUAGUAAGACCACGGCAGCCGUAAAACAACCUCAGACAGGUGGAACUCCAUCAAAUGAUGCUGAUGCUUAUGAUGAUGAUGAUGGAAAGCCAAAGAGAAAAAGACGUUUAAGCGUGACGAGCCUCAACAAGCCAGUUACAAAAGUGACCAUCCCCACCCCCUCCCUGGUGUCAAAAGCUUUCACCAAACAGACCACAUCAGUGAGCACUAUGACUAAGUCUGGUAAAUCUCUUGGUCCAGCAGGGACAAUCAAAGCUGUCCCACGUACCACAAAUCUUCCUGCAUCAGCAGCACAAGUAAAACUACUCACCAAGACGGUGGCAGUGUCCCAAACCAAGACAAUCCUGAGCUAUAAGGCAAUGACAUCGACAACAUCAUCACCUGCAAAAGUCCAAACAGCUGUGACACAGUCGUCACCAAAGACUCAAACAAAAACUGCAUCUGGAGUGCCCCCCAAGACAGUGCUUACUUCAAAAGCUCCAUUGUCCACUGCAGUGAAGAAUGUCUCGACAGGAGCUUCAAGUCCAGUAGCCACUGCGAGUCCUGCUGGACUGACACUCAAAACUGGUUUGACAGCAGCUCAGUUAGCGGCAAGACACAAAGUGAAACCUGCAGCUGCCAGAUUCAAACCUCUUCCAGGAACUGUGAAGUUCAAGUCAGUCACACCAGCUACUAUGGGAACCUGUUCCACUGUUACUAUGGUAACACCCAGUCCUAGUUCUCAAGCCUCCUCUACCUUACCUGUGUCAAACACACAGCCAGUUGUCCGUGUCAUUCAUGUUCCAGGAACUGGAGGUGUUGGUGGGAGUAAACCUGUUGUUGUCAUGACAACAGGUCUCAGUAAAACAACUGUCGCUGGUGUGGUUCCUGGAAGCAGUAGUCCUUCUAGUCUUACAAAGGCAACUUCUCAGGUGGUAACUCAAAGCACCUCAGUGAACAAAGCAGUAGUCACAACUGCUGGCACAGUCACAUCCCAAGCUCCAUCAAAAACUCAAGUGUCUAGUGCUGUUACUCAGUCAGUUUCGUCAGCAUCCAAAACAGUUGUUAUGACAACCUUAGUAGGUGGUGCAAAGAGAGUGGUUCUGUCUGUGCCAGCCCCUUUACAACCUGGUUCCAAUAUCGUUCCAUCCACAUCCUCUCAGGGGCUAGUGAUAACCAAGACACAAGGGAUCCCUCUGACUUCCUCAUCAGCCUCUCACUCUCAACCUGUUUCCAAGAAAGAUGCCAAAACAUCACCAGCAUUAGCCACUGUCUGUCCUAAAUCAUCUCCAACACAGAUCGCACCCAGUCUGACAACUGCAACUGUCACUACACAGGUGAGAUCAAGACCCCUCCCUACUAUUCUUCCUGCUCCUCCAAAACCAUCAACUGUGGCUCCAACUGCUGUUUCCAAUUCGGGCAACAUUAGGAAGCUUCCAACUAUCUUACCAGCGCCAGUUAAGAAUGUUCCAGCUGUUAUUCCAACUGUUCUGGUUCCUGUGGCUACUGGAGUAACUGCUCACACUGCAUCACAGCUGCAGUCUUCAGUGCCAAUAGCUGUAAAUACAGCUGUCUCUCAGGGUGUAGCAGCUUCAGUUUUGCCUCCUGACAAAGAAGGGGAGCAGCCCUCCCCUGGAGUACCAGAAAGACAAGAUUGUGGUCUUGAUUCUACAGAUCAGAGUAAUGCAACCAUUGAAUCGCAAUGUUCAGACAUAAUGGAAAACUCUAAGACACACGUUGCAGUGAGCUCUAAAUUGGCAGUGACAAAUGAAAAAAACGUUGUGACUGAAUGUGAUAACAAUACGUCAUCAGAGGAUGAUUCUCUUCUAAUUUGUUCUGAAACAAUUGACAAUGCAGGCUGCAACAUACCUGAGGUACCAUCAGCUGCGGAGUUUUUCAAAAAUAUUGCUGAAAGCAAACCUGUUAAAAAUCCAGCAGAUAAUGGUGCUGAGGAAAUGCCACAAACUGUGGAAGACUGCCAAGAAGCAGCUGUAGAUCCAGUAUCUUUACAAGAUGGUGGAGUCUCUCUCCUGGAUAUAGAUGGAUCAAAUGUGCAGAAAGUACCAACUAAAGACAUAGAGACAGCAGGAAAUUACGCUAAGAAAUCCAUGGAAAAUGUUACUGUUCAAAGAUUGGAUGAUUCUAGUGGAAUAUCUGAUUUAGUAAAAGAUUGUUUACCUGGAAAUAUAUAUUCAGAGUCUUCACAAGUGGAUAAUGAGGAUGAGAAUUCUUUUAAAUUUGACUUGGAGUCAGACGUUCAGUCAUCACUUCAAGGUGUUCAGGAAGAUGAUCAAAAUGUGACUGGGACAUCUGCAGAGGAUGGGCCUCCUGUGGAAAAUGCCCUUCAAAUAAUUGCAAGCUUUGUGGAAAGCAUGGAAGGAAGUUCAUUUGAAAAACAUGAAGAAGUAAAACAUACAACAACAAAUGAUCAUCAGCUUGAUGAUUCAUCAGGAUUUUUAAGUGAAUUACCAUCCUCUAGUCAGGAAACCCCCAUUCUUGUUCCUAGUGCAUUUACAUUGGAGGAAAAAACAAAAGACGCAACUGAACCAUCACCUACUGUGUCACACUCUGGAAAGAUCAUUGAUGAAGGACAAAGCCUGAGUGUUUUGUCACAAUCUGAAGAUGAUAGUUGGGAUGUUUCUGACGCACCCAUUGAUGUUUUGUCAACAUCCACAAGUAGUUCUAACAGUAUCCCUGAAAGCACAUUGGAGCUUACAGAGAAGGAAAUGAAGGCUCUUGAGGCUUUUGGUAGUGUUAGAACCAGUGGAAGGAAGAGAAAACCUCCUUCAUCUCUUGAUGUGUCACCACCAAGACAAAUUAGUGGCUGGGUGCGUGGUGCUCUCAGAUAUUAACUGAUCCUGAUAAAGCUAUGGUGACAUUUCCUCAGCCUCCUGCAGAAAGUUGCCAGCUAUCGUGGCCAAGGAAGACGGAAAGGUGAUUUCAGUGCUGCCACUUGGUUCCUCAAACCAGUGGACCCAGUUGAUGCACCUGGCUACUACAAAGUAAUAAAAACUCCCAUGGAUUUUGGAACGG